Molecule: microRNA, 22 nt
Filed under: Sarcophilus harrisii (Tasmanian devil)
Lineage: Eukaryota; Metazoa; Chordata; Mammalia; Dasyuromorphia; Dasyuridae
Description: Sha-Mir-430-o17_5p* (star (passenger))
Source: RNAcentral
AUCCUAACUCUGAGUCCUUAUU